Molecule: ribosomal RNA, 264 nt
Filed under: uncultured archaeon
Lineage: Archaea
Description: partial 16S ribosomal RNA
Rfam family: Archaeal small subunit ribosomal RNA
Source: RNAcentral
AGUCACUGACAUUAGAUACCCCUGUAGUCCAGGGUGUAAACGCUGCAGACUAGGUGUUGGGGGCCCUUUGGGGGCAUUCAGUGCCGGAGAGAAGUUGUUAAGUCUGCUACUUGGGGAGUACGUCCGCAAGGAUGAAACUUAAAGGAAUUGGCGGGGGAGCACCGCAACGGGAGGAGCGUGCGGUUUAAUUGGAUUCAACACCGUAAACUCACCAGGGAAGACUGUUACAUGAAGGCCGAGAUGAAGACUCUGCUAGAUUUUCAG